Molecule: long non-coding RNA, 3900 nt
Organism: Symphalangus syndactylus (siamang)
Lineage: Eukaryota; Metazoa; Chordata; Mammalia; Primates; Hylobatidae
Source: RefSeq, a predicted model, not a curated record
UUCUGCUCCUCUGUUCUUUGUUCUUCAUUUUAAAGUUUAACUUCCUCGUUCUUUACAUCUCCUUGCCCCUAGUUUCAGUAAACAACCCCCUCCUAGCCUCUAUCACCUGCUCUGAUCUUAGUCACCCUUGGUCACCUACUCUGUUCUUAGUCAUCCUGAAUCACCUGUUCUGUAACCAUCCUUCCUGCCAAACUACUCACCCUGCCACUCCGGCUCAUACUCCUGCUUUCUUUAAAAUAGCCAAUCAGAAUUAGCUUAGACUGUGUGGUCCAAACCUAGCCAAUAGGGGAACAACACAGCAGUAGGGGCUACCUGUGUCAGGGAUAAGAACCCCUUCCCCUCCCUUGUUUGGGUGUGCUCUCGCCAUUGCUCCAUCUGUGAGACGCACCCUUCUAUAGAAGUAAAAUUUCUUUGCUGAGAAAAUUCAUAGUACAGUGCUAUUUCUUUUGCAGCACUGAAAAUUUAUUUCCAACAAAUUUGGGGGCUCAUCUAGGAUUCCCAUUCUCCUCUGGGAAAGGGUCUUCUUUUGCCUCUCCUAUGAGAAGGUGUGCCCCACUGCCUUGUUGUGGCGGCCUCGGGGUAAGGAAUCAAGACCCACCUGGUGUGAUGAAUAAAGCUGGACUCUCAGCAAUGCAGGAAGAAACAGGCUGGCAGCUUGGGGAAAGGAUUCUUACAUACCCCGGUGACCAGGUAACUCUGUGCACAGACCAAGAACUAAAGGUCUUUUAACACAGGUGCCACCCCUAGAGUUUCCAGUACACCAACAUCAACCUGAGGACCACAUCCUCGUCGAAAGUUGGAGGGAAGGAAAACUCGCACUGGCUUGGGAAGAACCUUUCCUAGUGCUUCUAACCACCGAGACUGCAAUUUGAACAGCAGAAAGAGGAUGGACUCAUCACACCUGGGUCAAAAGAACACCACCCGCUCCAGAAUAAUGGGCAGCUAUUCCAGGGCCAACUCCAACCAAGCUAAAGCUUGGUUUGAUCCUCUUACAUUGCAUCUCUUUCUUUUCCCCUUCUAUUGCUAGACCUUUAGUUAGUAAUGUAACUAGGUCAAGUACACCCCAAACUGUUACUUUUGAUGCUUGCCUUGUGAUGCCCUGUGGAGAUUUGCCAAAACAGAGGUAACUCUCCACUUCAGAAAAGUAUCUUUAUCCUUCCUAGCUCUCCUCAGGCUGGAAAUCUGUUAACUGGGAUAAGUUAGUUUGGGAAGAGUUUGACGAAGAUUCUAGUAUGAACUGGGAAUCUUGUCCUCCUAGAGCAGAGCUUCUCUGCCGAAGUUGGUCCAAUGCUCUGUAAAAUACUGAAGAGCAAGGAUGGACCACCCCAACUAGUACUUGCAGUUUCUUAAAACCAUAUAUUCAUUUUACUGAUGGAGUUAACCCUCCCCAUUCUCAGCUGAACCAAUGUAAUCCAGUACAGAUUACCAUCACUGCUUCCCAGAGUUCUUCCCCUUCAUUAAGCUGUUUCUAUGGUAUUGGAGCAGAAGUCUCAGGGAAGGACCCCAUAGGAUCCUUUGCAAUGCACUUCAUUGCCUCCUCACUUCCUGCACCCACUUCUCCCUCUCCUUAGUUCUCCAGUAACCAAACCUUCUCUCAUUAUAUACCCAAUGAUAAAACCAAAGUAAUUGUUGUACAGGUUAAAGAUUCAAAACAAACCAUAGCAACCAAAACAGGGUAUCAGGAUGCAAAGGCUUGGCUGGAAUGGAUUAAAUAUGCUGUUUGCAGGCUAAACAAAAGCUCCUGUUACACUUGUGUGACAGGCAGGCCAGAGACCCAAAUUGUUCCCUUUCCACUUGGGUGGUCCUCUCACAGACCGGGCAUGAGCUGCAUGGUAGCUCUCUUCCAGAACCCCACAGCCUGGGGUGAUGAGUCAUGCAAGACUCUUUCACUGCUGUUCCCUGAGGUCAAGAGCCAUGCGGGUCAGCCCUGAGGACUAUCCAGCCUCCAGCCCCUGAUAUUAACUUCACCUCAUGCCUUUCACGGCAGGGGGACAAGUUAGCAUUCCUUGGAGACUUAACAGGGUGCAGUGAAACCAAGCCUUUUGAAGAGCUUACCAAUCAGUCUGCCCUUGUUCAUCCCGAGCAGUUGUGUGGUGGUAUUGCUGGGAACUAUUAGCUGGGUACACUGCCAAGUAAUUAGAGCAGCACUCGUGCUCUAGUCCAAUUGGCCAUCCCUUUCACUCUAGCAUUCUGUCAAUAUGAUAAAAAGAAAAUUGUAAAAGAAGUGCCUCACAUGGGUCCUUUGACCCCCCUGUUUAUAUAAACACUAUUGGAGUUCCAUGAGGAGAACCGGAUGAAUUUAAAGCCCGAGAUCAAAUAGCUUCAGGAUUUAAGUCAAUAUUUUCACGGGUGACAAUAAAAACAUAGAUUGGAUAAAUUACAUCUAUUAUGAUCACCAGUGGUUUAUUAAUUAUUCCACGGAUGCUGUCAAAGGGAUAACAGAACAAUUGGGGCUCACUGGCCAGAUGGUCUGGAAAAACAAAAUGGCCCUAGAUAUGAUAUUAGCCAUAAAAGGUGGUGUUUGUGUUAUGAUUAAAACUCAGUGUUGUACCUUUAUCCCAAGCAACACUGCCCCCACUGGGGGCAUAACAAGAGCCUUACAAAGACUUACUGCUUUAUCCAAUAAACUAGCUAAACUUCUAGAGUUGAUAACUCUUUCUCAGAGUGGCUGGAAAGGAUGGUUUGGUAAACAGAAAGAAAUCACAGCCUUAAUUCUUCUCUUGCAGCCAUAGUAGGUGUACUCGUUCUUGUUGGGUGUUGUGUCAUACCACGCAUCCGUGGGCUAGUACAAAGACUUACAGAAGCAACACUUACUAAAAUUUCCCUUAGCUCUCCUCCACCUUAUUCAGAUCAGUUUUUUCUUUUAUAGGAUUAAGUUGAACAACAAAGCCAAGACCUGUUAGAAAAGUUUGAAGAGAAAGUACUAUGAAAAUUGAAAAGGGGGAAAUUGUAGGAUAAUAAUAACAAAUUCCUGUCCAAAGGUUUUAGCCUGUAAAUUGUUAAGUAUAAUGAGUUUUGAGAUCCUCUCCAAAGAACCAAUGUAUCAGUAGGUUCAGCUCCCCUGUUCUUUGUUCUACAUUUUGAAGUUAAACUUCCUCAUUCUUUAUGUCUCCUUGCCCUUAGUUUCAGUAAACAAUGCCCUCCUAGCCUCUAUCACCUGCUCUGACCUUAGUCACCCUUGGUCACCUACUCUGUUCUUAGUCAUCCUGAGUCACCUGUUCUGUAACCAUCAUUCCCACCAAACUGCUCACACUGCCGCUCUGGCUCAUACCCUCGCUGUCUUUAAAAUAGCCAGUCAGAAUUAGCUUAGACUGUGUGGUCCAACCAUAGCCAAUAGGGGAAUGACACAGCAGUAGGGGCUACCUGCAUCAGGGAUAAGAAACCCUUUCCCUCACUUGUUCAGGUGUGCUCUCGCCAUUGCUCCAUCCAUGAGAUGCACCCUUCCAUAGAAGUAAAAUUGCCUUGCUGAGAAAAUUUAUGUUCGAGUGCUAUUUCUUUUGUGGCACUGAAAAUUUAUUUCCAACAUUCCUAACAGUACAAACACUUGGAAUAACUAGCUCCUUUCUCCCUUCCCCUUUUCCAGAGGCAGUAACACCUCCAAUAUGUACUUGCAGAUUGGCAUAUAUCAUCCUUCCAUUUUAACCCAUUCAAGGACUCUUUAGAAACCAUCAACAAAGGUUAUUCUCUAAGACAUAUGGCAUAGGUCAGGGGCUAGCAGAUGUUUUCUUUGAAAGAUUACAUAAACAUCCCAUGCUCACAGGCCAUAUGGUCUGUCACACCUAUUCAACUCUGCCAUUCUAGCAUGAAGGCAGCCAUAGACAUAUGUAAACAAAUGGAUGUUAUUGUGUCUCAAUAAAACUUUAUUUAUAAAAAGGGCCAGAUUUGGCCUAUGGAGCUGUA